AGCAGCCGCGGUAAUUCCAGCUCCAAUAGCGUAUAUUAAAGUUGUUGCGGUUAAAAAAGCUCGUAGUUGAAUUUCGGGACCAAUAUGUCGGUCGUGCCUCGGUACGUACUGGUGUCAUUGGUUUCUCUCUUCUGAGGAUCCUUGAUGUCAUUAAUUUGGUGUCUUGGGAAAUCAGGACUGUUACCUUGAAAAAAUUGAGUGUUUAAAGCAGGCAUACGCUUGAAUACAUUAGCAUGGAAUAAUGAAAUAGGACGUUCGAUUCUAUUUUGUUGGUUUCUAGGAUCGACGUAAUGAUUAAUAGGGAUAGUUGGGGGCAUUAGUAUUCAAUUGUCAGAGGUGAAAUUCUUGGAUUUAUUGAAGACUAACUACUGCGAAAGCAUUUGCCAAGGAUGUUUUCAUUAAUCAAGAACGAAAGUUAGGGGAUCGAAGACGAUCAGAUACCGUCUAGUCUUAACCAUAAACUAUAGACCGACUAGGGAUCGGAUGAUGUUUAAUUUUUAGUGUACUUCAGUUCGGCGUA
This 520-nucleotide ribosomal RNA is filed under the name uncultured Glomus. Its description in RNAcentral is "SSU rRNA". It matches the Rfam family "Eukaryotic small subunit ribosomal RNA", at positions 569 to 1078 of the family's 1831-position model. The record is from RNAcentral. Lineage: Eukaryota; Fungi; Glomeromycota; Glomeromycetes; Glomerales; Glomeraceae.